AGACGUAGGGGGCAAGCGUUGUCCGGAAUUACUGGGCGUAAAGGGCGCGUAGGUGGCCUUACAAGUCUGGAGUGAAAGUCCCGUUUUUAAGGUGGGAAUGGCUUUGGAAACUGUAAGGCUUGAGUGUGGGAGAGGAUAGCGGAAUUCCCGGUGUAGCGGUGAAAUGCGUAGAGAUCGGGAGGAACACCAGUGGCGAAGGCGGCUAUCUGGACCAAGACUGACACUGAAGCGCGAAAGCGUGGGUAGC
Molecule: ribosomal RNA, 247 nt
Filed under: uncultured bacterium
Lineage: Bacteria
Description: partial 16S ribosomal RNA
Rfam family: Bacterial small subunit ribosomal RNA
Source: RNAcentral